GACAGGGAGCUAUUUAAGGGCCCUUAGCCCUAGCACAUACAUCUGUAGCCUCCCGGGAGGCAUACGGACACUAUUUAUAUGCCUGCAGUUCUACUAUCAGGUAUGUUUUUCUACCUCCUUUACAAGCUAGUUCAAUCUGGUUGACUCCUUAUGGCAGUGCCAUUCUAAGCCCUCUAUUUGUCUAUUUCAGAGACCUGACAGGGCUUGUCUAUACUUGGCCCCUUGUUACCUAUCUGGGGUGCAUCCAUUGUGAAUAUUGUGUUUAAAUUCACUGUAUUGCUAUAUGAUCAGCUUACACUCCUGUGUUAAUUUCAACUCACCAUGGUUACAGCCUGAUUAGCUCUAUCUACCUUCACUGGGUAAGCCUCGUUUUGCUAUUUUAUUUAAAUGGUUAUGCAUGUCAUUUUAGAACUUAGCAUCUUAUUGCUAUAUAUUUAUCCAUAGAUUUUUAGCUGCAAUCUGCAUUGGCUAUAUACUACUAUGGUGCAGAUGGAACUUUUUCACUGGAUGCCAGUACAAGUUUAUUCUUUUAACCAUUAACCCCUCACCAGUUCAGACUCCGGGUUACUGUUACCCCUAAUCUCAACUGAUGCUCCUCUAGCACAUUUAUAACAAAAAGUCCUUUGAAGAAGCGCCAUAUCUCAGCGCGAAACAUGUCAGGCCACAGCGAUUCCUUUGUCAUCGUUUAGACCUUCAGUCUAUGCAGUCUUCGGUCCUUCCUCAGGAACUUAUAUAAUCUAUAAGUGGUUGGAGGUUCUUUGUUUGUCUUUAUCAACAGUAUAUCUCAAUAACCAGUUGAAAUUCUUUUUUAUGUAAUUAUGUUUAAUUACCAAUUCCUGAUGGUUCUCACUGAAUACUGUAACGCUGUGUAAUUUUGUUUUUGUGCAAAUUCAAUCAUAUGGAGAUUUUCUUAAAGUGUUUAAUAAUACCUUGUGUAAUAAAUAUAUUUUUUUAGCAAAAA
Long non-coding RNA from Rana temporaria (common frog), 961 nucleotides. RefSeq lists it as uncharacterized. The transcript is spliced from 2 exons. NCBI's taxonomy places the organism in Eukaryota, Metazoa, Chordata, Amphibia, Anura, Ranidae. The record is from RefSeq and is a predicted model, not a curated record.